GCGGCCGCAGUUGAAUUCACCAAAUAGAAGACAUUGGAAAUGAGACCCGAGGGUUGGAGGAGGAGGAAGCCUGCAAUGUGAACACGAUGGCUGGAGCUCCGGCAGCCAUUCUGGACCAGGAGGUAGCCUUGAAGAUGGAAGCCACAUGUUGGGAUGGUGAAUCCAAAAGAUGAGGAGCCUGUAUCCCCUGUGACACCAGAACUGCCAUACCAGCCCUGGGUUCCUCCAUCUAUACUGCCUUCAU
RNAcentral lists this long non-coding RNA (244 nucleotides) under Homo sapiens (human). RNAcentral describes it as "RCAN3 antisense RNA". Lineage: Eukaryota; Metazoa; Chordata; Mammalia; Primates; Hominidae. The record is from RNAcentral.